This 571-nucleotide long non-coding RNA is filed under the name Equus caballus (horse). RNAcentral describes it as "lncRNA (ENSECAG00000047511.1)". Lineage: Eukaryota; Metazoa; Chordata; Mammalia; Perissodactyla; Equidae. The record is from RNAcentral.
GAACUCUCAAAAGCAGAACAAAAUUAAAACAAAAGGGAAAUGGGAGGGAAAAGAUAAGAAAAGCCAAAGAAUCAGUCUCCAGAGUGCAGCAUCUAACAAUUAGGAGUUCCAGAAAGAGAAGAGAGAAAAUGGAGGGAAGAUAUUAUCAAAGAAGCAAUUUUCUAAAUUUCCAGAACUGAAACUCAUAUAUCUCCUUAUUGAAAGGGCACAUGGAUUACCUAGCACAAUGAGUGAAAAAAGACAAAACCCCAGGAAGCUACUAGUGAAAGUGCUCCAGUCAAAUAGAGUAAACCAAGAAAGAAGAUGCAGAAAUUGUUACCUAACAUAGGAGAGAGAUGGAGGGAAGUUCCACAAUGACUGCAGAAAAUGAUACUCCUGUAAAGGAGUAAGAGGAAGUGGGGCUCCAAGAAAGAGUGAAAUUUCUACUCUUCUGGCACAAAUGACAGCUCAUCUGUGAAGCAUUCUGGCCCAGCCAUAGAGCUUUUUUGUGUGUGUUCUUUUUAACCUGUAUUCACAUGGUAUUUUGUAUAAAAACUGAUUAUGCCAUGUCUGGAUUUCCAUAAACUCAAAG